GCCGCCCUCGGGCUGGCGGAGGCGCCGGAGGAGCCCCCGAGCUGCAGCCGUCUCCCUCGGGCUGCUGCCGGUGCUGCGGGCGGAGGCGGCUCCGCCGCGUGUUGGGCGCUGCGAGCAGGGAGCGCUGCGGUAUCGCCGGCAUGACGGGGCUGCUGCCUGCGUUAGUGCUCGUGGCUCUUUGUGCCGUGACAGCGGAUGGAGCGGCGCUGAGCGGGACACCCAGAGAUGGCCGGGAGAAUGCCCAGCGCAGGGAGCGGGCGGGCUGUGUGCUUCGGAUGGCACAGGUGCGAGCUGCAAAGUCACCCCCCCUUCCGCCCCUGCCCUCCCGAGCCCCGGAGAAAAUGCUUUCCAGCAUUGUCGAGCUUCUGAAAGACAAAACUUGUGAUUUGACACUAGCAUCCAGAAAAGGUUUCUGUCUAGAUUAGCAAAUGCCUAAAUUGUUCUUGGUUACAUCCCAUGACCGGUUUUAGGCAGUGACUUCAUACUGCUUUUAGGAUUUUCUUGUACACUGGUGAGAAAAUAGGCAGGUCUGAUAGUGGUUUCACUUUUUUUCUACUUCACGUUCCAUAAGAUUCUUUUAUCCAAGCGAUUGUUUUAAAAUUCUACUGUAAGCGUUUGUGGUUCACUUUUUUUUUCUUUGCAGCACCCGGGCCUUUUUUUUUUUCUCUAAAUCGGGAGUAAAUAUAGCUGAGUAAAAUUACCUUGGUUAUCUUCCUUCUUUUUAAACUUAAUUGUUUUUAUUAAUAAUUCUAUCUGAAUAUGCAGAAAAAGUGAGUAUGUCCUGUAAUCUAUGCUAGCUUUUCUCGUUUACAGGGUACUCACAAAAUAUGUCUCCCUUAGUGUCCCACAGAAACAUUCUGGGUGCAAUCUGAAUUAAGGUAUGUGUUUUCAAAUAAGUAAUCAGUUUAGAUAUUUGCCUGUGUACCUUUUCCUGUAAUUCAGAGCUUGUGUUCUGUGGGUUUUAUGAUAAACCUGUAAAACAUGUAAGAAUGGUUUUGCAAGUCUGAAUCGUUGAAGGCAGCAAUAAGUGGAUUUAAAGCCUGUUCUUGAGCAGACAAAGGGGAAAAGUGUGACUCUGAUGCUGAACUUGUCAUUUUUCAUUUGACUUGCCUUUAAUUAUUGAAGAAGAGAGAGAACUAGGAAAAGAAAUAGAAUUGAUUAUUGAGCACUCCUAAAAAGCUCACCAUGAUUCUGUGUAGAGCCAAAGUGAAGGAUGAUGGAACAGAGCUCUGUGCAUUAGAAGGAAAUAAACCUGAUGUCCACACAGAGUCUUACUAAUUUCUGUUUUUAAAAUGCAAAAUAAGUUUAGGAAGUGUUGGAAGUUAGUAUUUUGGGAAAGAAAUGGCAGUUCCACAAAACAUUCCAUUCCAUUUAAGAGAGGCCCUUGGACUGAUUCAUGUUGUAACUGCUGUCACUGCAAUCAGUUGGUGGUUCAGCCUUGAAACGUGCACUUGGCCUUCUAUAAAGCACUGUUUUGUUUGCCUUUCAGUGCUAUGAGUCUUGAUAAAUUGGAGAAGUGCCCAAGAGAAAUUCAUCAUCCUGAGAUACAAAAGGUAGGAAGUGACUUUUUCUGGUUUGGUUCUUUUUCUUUAUUGUUUUCUGGAAAUAGAAGUAAUUAAGUAUAGAUACUACUGGUUUGUUUCUUCCAGUAGCUGAUAAUACUAAUACCAAUAAUAAUAAUAAUAAUAAUAGUAAAGUAAUACUACUUCAACUGUCUUUAUUUAUCCAUUGAACUGGCCAUUUUAAAUCUAAACUUCUAAACACAAAUCAAACCAUCAUCCUUGUAGAAUCUUUAAUAGGAGUGGGCUAAAGAUCCUGGUUUUGUUGACAGGAUUUAUUGGUUCAUGAACAGCAAGAGGUAAGUACAAGCCUAACUACCCUCUAGCUCACAGACCUGCCCGGUGAAUAGAGCUUUGUUUUUUUGAUGGGCUUGUGAUGACUUUGAGAUCAAUUGCUCAUUCAUUACAGUAAAAAAAAAAAAAUUGUUUUGAACAUGACAGCAAAAAUAACUUUAAGCACAACUUAAUAAUAAUAAUAGAUCACCAAUUUUAGUUAAUAAUUUUAUGCUAUACUCUUGGGUGAGGGAAGACUCGGACACUCAAUAUGAGAUCAGCAAGCUAUGUUUAUUGCAGAGAGUAUCAGACACUUAUACAGCACAUAAUAAGCUUAUGAAUAUUCUGUAAGCCAAGCGAUCUAUUGGUUAAACUAUACCAUCAACUCUUCCUCAUUCCUUUGGGCCUACAUUCCCUAUUUCCCACGUCUCUCUGUCUACUUGUUAUCCUACCCAGCUAGGCCCAGGCACACGCUAUCUUGCAGGUGCAAAACUCAAAAAUACCUGUGUUCGGUACUUUCCCAGCUCCUGGUCGGCUAACGAGCGAAUGUCUGCGUGACCUCUGUCAUGGAGCCAUUUCUCCACACUAUACUAUCAAAGUUUAAAGGUAAAUUAUUAUAUAUUAGGAGAUGGUGUAAAGUGUAUGUUGUAAUGUGUAGGAUAUAUACAAAGAUACGUACUUGAAAGUCCGUAGAGGAAACAAAUUUUUACGCCUUCUGUUUGACUGUUUGUCAUAUAUUUGGUUUUAUUUCCCAGGGAUCAGUGAAUUUUAACUCUGGAGUCCUCUAUGCUAAGGAUGCUCAGCUUAGAGAUGAUGAAAUGUUCAGUAAUGUAUUUGCUGCAGCUCUGCUUACCCAAGCUUUGGGUUCCCUCUGUCUCACUGGGAGUUGCCCAAUUCAGUUGCAUCUGGUGAAAUUCACCCUGAGACCUUACAGAACCAGCUCCAACUACGUGAGAGCCAUUUGCAGUUCUCUCCAGACACCUGGAGAAUGGGCGACAUUUCUGAGAAUCCGGCGAGCGUGCUUCUAUCAAAACUCAGUCUGUGAAAUUCCUGGGGAAAACCCUUCUGUGUCCUGAAGGGUUCAAACUCUGGUGAGGAUCCAGUUAUCAGGUGCUCACCUGGAUGGUUCCAGCUCUUAAAGUGAACACUUGUACUCUUGCCCUGUAGUUUACAUCUAUUGUAUUUUUGUUAUUUUGCAGGAUUUUUUGUCUUUGCAAAAUAUUGUGCAUUUCACUCUUUGGAACCUCUCAGAUGGUUCUCUGGUGCAGCACCACCCCAUGGGACACUUGGCUGCUGUCCUGAAGGGUUUGGUCGCUAGAAUUGUGAAUCCUGGAGAGUUUGUGAGUCUUCUGUCCCCAGGGAGGUACCAUGCUUUGUUUACUUUUUGUUCUGUUGGUUAGGCGCUGCUUCUCGUUGCAAGUACGAAUUUCAAACUGCCCUGUUCUUUUUUUAACUGUUUUCCUGGUUCUCUCCGUCCGGCAGGGAAAGACUCUCGUAUCCUUGUCAUCGGGCUCGGUGCUGUCCAAGAAGAUACAGAGACUAAAAAAAUCAUAAGAAGCAAAAUAUGACUGCAGGGAAAAGAAGCUGGAGAGAACAGAAGACUCAUCACGGCGGGACAGCGUGAAGACUGAAAGUGUAAGAAGAUGUGGAGGGAAACAGAGAAUCUGACAGGAGCAUCGGAGGGACGAGUGCACGAAUUUUGCUUUUUGCUUGGAUGUAAACUCAGGAGUUGAGAGGAAUUUGGGAGUGAGAAGGGACAUCUCAGAAGGAGAAGAAGAAAAAGAGGUUGUUGCUACAGUCCUGGCAAAAUCUUUUGUUCUAGCUAAUAAAAGAAGUUAGUUUAAAAAACAAAAAGGAAAAAAUGUAGUGUUUUUUUUUUCCUUCACUAUGAUAUUCAUUGGUGGUAUAUGGUGUGUUGUUUCAUUUCUUGGUAUUAUUAACUCUGUGUAAAUUGUUUUUUGAGUGAAGCUGACUUUCUGGAUGGGUUGGUUUGUAUUUGAGGCAGGAUUAAUUUCAGUAGGGUUCUUUCAUAGAUUUCUGAUGGGUAUUACUGGGAUUUUGGUUUUGUUUACUGUAUGUAUGAACCUAGAGCUUUGGUAGGGCCAGCUGGGCUGCUGGAGUUUUGGGUGUGUAUUUAUUAGAUGGCUUUUGUUAGAUGCAGUUUUUAAUUUUUGAAAUGUUUUUCAAUGUAGUGGUUUUAAGGUGGUUUUUAAGAAUUCAUUGUAUUGCUUUAUCUUGUUUGUAGUUGGUGUAUGAUAAGGGAUGUGGUGUGAGUUCUUGAACAUUAUGGUUUUGGUGUUCCUAAGUUCUGAUUUCUUUGUGGUUCAAUAGCUUUUUUUAUUUUUAUUUUUUGGGACAGGGGCAUUUAUAUGGUGGGUUUUUAUAGGCAAUAUGUUUUUUAAUUUAGGUAGUGAUAUUUUUUAAUAUUUUAAUAGUUUAGGUUUUUUAUUUUCAUGGUUUUAAUUAUUUUUUUUAAUUUUUUGAAAUAACUUUUAUAGAUUACAUGUUAUUAUUUGUGCAUUAACAUAAAGGUAGAGCUUUGGGGACUUUUUUUAGUAAUGUUUAGGGUCAGUUGUGCAGUUUUGAGUCUAGUGCGUUGGUUUGAUUUAAUUUUUAAUGGGUGUUUGUUUUUAUUAGCAGUUGUGUCAUUUUCAGGGUGUGUUUGAGUUUUUUGGGGUUUUUGAGAUACUGGUUUAGGAGGAAGUUUAUGAUGAGCAUGUGCGGAGGUUUUGGGCUACUUUAUAGUGGGAUUUAAAAUUUAUUUACAGUUAGGUUUAUUUGAGUUUUUAUUAGGGUUCAGUGACGUUGUGGGAUGUUUGUUCCGUUAGUAACAGAAAUAGGUUUUGUUUUGCUGUGCUGCGAUGGGAUGGGCGUGUGCUGCGUGCCGGUGCUGACAAAGGUACAGUAUUGUUGUGGCUCUGGUGCGUCGGGUUAAUGAACUGACAUGGUUUAAUGUAGAGAUGAAAAUAGAAAUAAAUAUACAUUUAAAAAUAAAUAUAACAUUAGAGUGGUAAACAUAAAUAUAGAUAACAGAUACAUACAUAAAACUAUAAUAUAUGGUAUAUAAUUGUAACAUGUUAUCAUAUAGAUAAAUGAUAGUCUAUUUUAUAUAUAUAUACACAAAGAUAUAUAAAUAUAGAUUGUAAAUAUAAAAAUAUUUAAAUAGAGUUAAAGUAAAUUGGGCAGUUUUAUUAGGGUAUAGGCUGGGGUUUUUAAAUGAUAGCAAUAAAAUAUAAAUUCAGAUAUACAAAUAUAUAUAGAAAUACAAAUAUCUAUACAUAUUUAAUUUAAACAAAUAUAAGUAAGAAAAUAUGUAUAAUACAGAAAAUAUAUUUCUAUGAUUAUAUUAGAAGGUAUUCCCUCUAAUAUAGAUAAAAUCUAUGCAUAAAAUAAAUAAAAAUAUCCAUAUAAAUAUCAUUAUAAUUUUGAAAAAUAAAUUUACUUCGUAAAUUUUAAAUCUGGUUCAAAUAAAGGGGUGUCCUUGGUUUUUAUUUGGUUAGAGGCAGGAGUUUUAUUUUAAAUAAUAUAAGCAAUAUAGAAAUGUGGAUCUUAAGAUAGAAAUAUAUAAUAAAUAUAUAAAGAGAAAUUGCUAAACUAUGAAUAUAAAUUUAAAUAUAAAUAUAUGUAAGUAAUAUGAGGAGUUGUGGCAUGGAAUAUAAAUAACAUUAAAUGGCAAUAUAAAUUAUAAAUGGGAAUAUAAAUAUAAAAAUAUGUAAAUAUCGUUUAAAAGAAAUGGAAUGUUUUGGCUUUUAUUUAAGUAGAGGCAGGGUUUUUAAUUUGAAUAUUAUACGUGUUCCAGAAGUAAAAAUCUUGACGCAGAAAUAUUUAAUCCAUAUAAAAAUAUGAAUAAAAAAAUAUAAAAAAUAUAAAUACCUACUCGCAUCGGAUGUAAUAUAGAAUAUAAAUUUAUUUAUAAAUUGACAUUGGUAAAGAUAAAUAUAUAAGUAAGCAAUAUACAUUAAUAUACAUUAUAAAUACAAAUAUGAAUAUAACAAUUGAACAUUAGGAUAAAAUCUAUUUAAAUAUUUUUUAAAAGAAAGGGUUCGGUUUUUUUUUAUUGUUGUGUUAGAGGCAGGGUUUUUAUUUUAAAUAGUAUGAAUGUAGAUAUUGUUAUAUAUUUCUAAAUAUUGAGAUAUACAAUCAAGAUAUAAAUAUAUAUAUAAACACAAAAUAUAAAUAAAUACAAAUAAUAGGAAGUGAUGUAAUGAAGAAUACAAAUAACAGUAUACAUAAGUAUACAUUUUAAAUGUAAAUGUGAAUAUGAACCUGAAAAAUAGAAUUUUAUAAAAUAUUUAAGUACAGUUUGGAAGAAAGGGGUUCUUUUUGGCUUUAAUGUGGAUGGAGGCAAAGGUUUUAUUUUAAAUAAUCCAAGUGUUACCGAAGUAAAAAUCGUAACAGAAAUGUAUACUUACUAUGUGAAAAUAUUUAUAAAAAUAUACAAAUAAAUUUAAGUUUUAGGGAUAUAUGCAAUAUGGAAUAGAAAUGUAUUUAUAAAAAGAAAUGUAUAAAUGGACAGUGUACAUCAAUAUACGUUGUAAAUAGAAAUGUGAA
This is a long non-coding RNA of Melospiza melodia melodia, 6383 nucleotides long. RefSeq lists it as uncharacterized. The transcript has 3 exons. The record is from RefSeq and is a predicted model, not a curated record. NCBI's taxonomy places the organism in Eukaryota, Metazoa, Chordata, Aves, Passeriformes, Passerellidae.